AAACCAUGAUGGGGACAAAAUCGAAUCAUUUCUUUGAAACGCUCCCAAGCAUCGGAAAGAGACUCCCCAUAUUUCUAAGUGAAUCGUGUAAUUUGAUUCCUCAAUUU
This is a small nucleolar RNA of Medicago truncatula (barrel medic), 107 nucleotides long. NCBI's taxonomy places the organism in Eukaryota, Viridiplantae, Streptophyta, Magnoliopsida, Fabales, Fabaceae. The record is from RefSeq and is a predicted model, not a curated record.